RNAcentral lists this ribosomal RNA (442 nucleotides) under uncultured bacterium. RNAcentral describes it as "partial 16S ribosomal RNA". It matches the Rfam family "Bacterial small subunit ribosomal RNA", at positions 338 to 795 of the family's 1533-position model. The record is from RNAcentral.
CCUACGGGUGGCUGCAGUAGGGAAUCUUUCACAAUGGGCGAAAGCCUGAUGGAGCAACGCCGCGUGCAGGAUGAAGGCCUUCGGGUUGUAAACUGCUUUUAUAAGCGAGAAAUAUGAUGGUAACUUAUGAAUAAGGAUCGGCUAACUACGUGCCAGCAGCCGCGGUCAUACGUAGGAUCCGAGCAUUAUCCGGAGUGACUGGGUGUAAAGAGUUGCGUAGGUGGCAUAAUAAGUAGCUAGUGAAAUCUGGUGGCUCAACCAUUCAGACUAUUAGCUAAACUGUUAAGCUCGAGACCGUUAGGGGUAACUGGAAUUCCUAGUGUAGCGGUGAAAUGCGUAGAUAUUAGGAGGAACACCAGUGGCGAAGGCGGCUUACUGGACUGUAACUGACGUUGAGGCUCGAAAGCGUGGGGAGCAAACAGGAUUAGAUACCCGGGUAGUC